This 253-nucleotide ribosomal RNA is filed under the name uncultured bacterium. RNAcentral's name for it is "partial 16S ribosomal RNA". It matches the Rfam family "Bacterial small subunit ribosomal RNA", at positions 524 to 776 of the family's 1533-position model. The record is from RNAcentral.
UACGAAGGGGGCUAGCGUUGUUCGGAAUUACUGGGCGUAAAGGGCGCGUAGGCGGCCUUGUAAGUCCUGUGUGAAAUCCCCCGGCUCAACUGGGGAACUGCACAGGAGACUGCUUGGCUUGAGUUCGGGAGAGGGAAGCGGAAUUCCGGGUGUAGCGGUGAAAUGCGUAGAUAUCCGGAGGAACACCAGUGGCGAAGGCGGCUCACUGGCCCGAUACUGACGCUGAGGCACGAAAGCGUGGGGAGCAAACAGG